This 425-nucleotide ribosomal RNA is filed under the name uncultured bacterium. Its description in RNAcentral is "partial 16S ribosomal RNA". It matches the Rfam family "Bacterial small subunit ribosomal RNA", at positions 354 to 796 of the family's 1533-position model. The record is from RNAcentral.
GUGGGGAAUAUUGGACAAUGGGCGCAAGCCUGAUCCAGCAAUGCCGCGUGGGUGAAGAAGGUCUUCGGAUCGUAAAGCCCUUUCGACAGGGACGAUGAUGACGGUACCUGUAGAAGAAGCCCCGGCUAACUUCGUGCCAGCAGCCGCGGUAAUACGAAGGGGGCUAGCGUUACUCGGAAUUACUGGGCGUAAAGGGCGCGUAGGCUGACCUGUUAGUCAGGGGUGAAAUUCCUGGGCUUAACCUGGGGACUGCGUUUGAUACUGCAGGGCUUGAGGCCGAGAGAGGUUGGUGGAAUUCCCAGUGUAGAGGUGAAAUUCGUAGAUAUUGGGAAGAACACCGGUGGCGAAGGCGACCACCUGGCUCGGUUCUGACGCUGAGGCGCGACAGCGUGGGGAGCAAACAGGAUUAGAAACCCUUGUAGUCC